GUUUCGUUCCGCUGGCGACCGACCAGCAGGUGACUCUGGUGAGGUGCGCUGCCUGGUAGUAUUUUUCGAAAUCGGGGAGCGCCAGGCCUCCUCUGAGUUUAGGCAGGGUUAGUUGAGCGUGCGCUAUGCGUGGGGAUUUGCCCUUCCAUACGAACGUGCGGACCUCUGCCCGUAGUGUCUUGAAGAAGGCUUGUGGGGCUAGUAUCGGCACAGUUUGGAACACGAAGAGAAGUUGUGGUAGUAGCAUCAUCUUGAGAGCUCCAUUUAUUUAGUUCCUCCGUUGCUUUUUUUAGUAAAGGGAGGUAGUUGUGGGUGUAAAGGUCUGCCGGGCUGGGUGUGAG
This is a non-coding RNA of Pelobates cultripes (western spadefoot toad), 341 nucleotides long. The record is from the annotation of a GenBank genome assembly. NCBI's taxonomy places the organism in Eukaryota, Metazoa, Chordata, Amphibia, Anura, Pelobatidae.